GUUUGAUCCUGGCUCAGAACGAACGCUGGCGGCGUGGCUAAGGCAUGCAAGUCGAACGAAUUUACCAAGUGAGUAAUCAUGCGGUGAAUUAGUGGCGGAAGGGUGAGUAAUGCACAGGUAACGUUCCCUUAACAUCGGGACAGCCACGGGAAACCGUGGGUAAUACCGAAUGACAUCCCCGGAUCGCAUGAUCUGGUGAUCAAAGGUUUCGGCCGGUUUUGGAUCGGCCUGUGUCGUAUCAGCUAGUUGGUGAGAUAACGGCCCACCAAGGCAUCGACGCGUAGCGGGAUCGAGAGGUCGACCCGCCACAUCGGGACUGAGACACUGCCCGGACCUCCACGGAGGGCUGCAGCAACGAAUAUUGCGCAAUGGACGAAAGUCUGACGCAGCGACGCCGCGUGUAGGAUGAAGUUCUUCGGAAUGUAAACUACUGUCAGGGAGAAGAAAGACUUCGGUUUGAUCUAUCCCAAAGGAAGCCCCGGCUAACUCCGUGCCAGCAGCCGCGGUAAUACGGGGGGGGCAAGCGUUGUUCGGAAUUACUGGGCGUAAAGGGCUCGUAGGUGGCCACCUAAGUCCGACGUGAAAUCCCUCGGCUCAACCGGGGAACUGCGUCGGAUACUGGGUGGCUUGAAUCCGGGAGAGGGACGUGGAAUUCCAGGUGUAGCGGUGAAAUGCGUAGAUAUCUGGAGGAACACCGGUGGCGAAGGCGGCGUCCUGGACCGGUAUUGACACUGAGGAGCGAAAGCCAGGGGAGCAAACGGGAUUAGAUACCCCGGUAGUCCUGGCCCUAAACGAUGAGUGCUUGGUGUGGCGGGUAUCGAUCCCCGCUGUGCCGGAGCUAACGCGUUAAGCACUCCGCCUGGGGAGUACGGUCGCAAG
RNAcentral lists this ribosomal RNA (879 nucleotides) under uncultured bacterium. RNAcentral's name for it is "bacterial SSU rRNA". It matches the Rfam family "Bacterial small subunit ribosomal RNA", at positions 11 to 892 of the family's 1533-position model. The record is from RNAcentral.